Molecule: long non-coding RNA, 1316 nt
Organism: Stomoxys calcitrans (stable fly)
Lineage: Eukaryota; Metazoa; Arthropoda; Insecta; Diptera; Muscidae
Exons: 3
Source: RefSeq, a predicted model, not a curated record
UGGACCCCGGAGGGUCCGAACUGUCUCAGCGGAGAAAGGGGACAUAGUGUGCUGGCGGGCGCUGGCUGUUGGCGUUAGAGCUCCGGCUGUGGCUCAGUCUGGGGCGCGGUUCUUGCCAACACACCAUGUCCAGAGACAGCUGACAAAAAAACUAAAUUGAAACCAGCUCUGGAUGGGAUAACAACACAGGGUCAUACUUACUUUACGGCAGGCACGUUAUUCGCCUUCUUACUCGCACUUACCGCUAUGGAUUCGCUCUUCAGGGGGCACUGAGACAUCCUACAGUGCCCUGGACGGCCCACCCCAACCAUGGUAUCCGUUGUCCAACAGUUUUGGAUACCCCAGAAUCGUCUCCCCGUUCCCCCUCUACAGCAUGGUGCACUACCCCUUCCUUACCUUAAUGAUCUACUCUUCCAUAGCGAAAUGAGAAUACUAAGCCAAGUGGAAUUUCAUUUCUACGUUAUAAAAGAAAAGUGCCUUUGUUGCGUCUGUCAGAUCGCCGGACUGGAAUGCUUCGACGACGGCUCCCCUGGAUAGCAAGACAAUUUGGUAGCGGAGGUGCCCUGGAUCUCCCUUUUUAUGUUCUUGCCAACCUGCAGGGACAACAUUAAACGACCAAAGGGUCUUUUAUUUAAAGUGUAUUCCUAGUGCCCUAGAAUGAGCUCACCCUACUUCCUAGGUUGUAUCGUCCGUUCAAUCACCGGACUGCAGAUAUGAAACCCAAUGUCUACCCUGUUUGCUGCCUAAGUUAUUCUGUUUUCUUUUUUUUUUUAUUUCUUAUAUUUUUAUUCCAGGAUGUGUGUCAAGCUAAGUUUCUCUGUGUAUCGUUCUAAGUAUUGAACAUAUAAAAAGGAGCAUACAUCGGCCUACCUUGGCACCUACGGGCUGCUGGUGCAAAAUUCCCUCGGGGACACUGGAGCAGAUGGCGGCGGUGGAACCAAUGAUGAAGCUGGAGAUGCUGAUGAGAUGAUGAUGUUGUUGAGGAUGGAAAUGUUGACGUUGCCGUGGAUGACGAUGGUUAAAAUUGCAGUAGAGGUGGGUAUUUAUUAUUUGACAAAAAGUUUUUGUUGUUCUGUUUAGUCUUUGCUAUGUUUUAUUCGUGGCUCAAAUUAACGUUCUUUUUCAAAGCUUUUUAUAUUUCACAGGAUCUUUUUUCUUUAGCAUUAAUUAGCACUAAUAAGUUUAUUUAGCUUUAAGUUGAUCUAAAGUAACUUCAGCUUUUUUACUACAAAAGCUAGUCUUUAUUCCUUUCACAAAAAAAGGAACAUUUAUUUGCUUUUAAAUAAAAAACUUUAUGCCUUUGGCAUCACAUAUUC